RNAcentral lists this unclassified non-coding RNA (220 nucleotides) under plant metagenome. RNAcentral describes it as "partial contains small subunit ribosomal RNA and internal transcribed spacer 1". The stretch from base 1 to 46 matches the Rfam family "Eukaryotic small subunit ribosomal RNA", at positions 1786 to 1831 of the family's 1831-position model. The record is from RNAcentral.
AAGUCGUAACAAGGUUUCCGUAGGUGAACCUGCGGAAGGAUCAUUAUCGAAUUAUAAGCGAGGGUUGUCGCUGGCCUCUUUCGAGGCAUGUGCACACCUGAGCUCUUAAAUCCACAACACACCUGUGAACCCACCGUAGGCCUUCGGGCUUAUGUAUCAUAUACUCUGAAAUGUGUCAUAGAAUGUAAAUAUUUUGCCUUAAAAACGCAAUGAAAUACAA